This 1628-nucleotide unclassified non-coding RNA is filed under the name Dimorphilus gyrociliatus. RNAcentral describes it as "dgyrCDS6936". The record is from RNAcentral. Lineage: Eukaryota; Metazoa; Annelida; Polychaeta; Dinophilidae.
GUUCGGACUUCUUCGGCAAUCUUCGGGACGUCGUUCUAGGAUUGGAUGCUACUGUGAGUUUUUUUUGUCUUUUGGAGAAGCUAUUAAGUGGAGAGUUAAAAAGCAUUAAAGAAGCAUUGGAAAUCGAAAUUGAAGAUAUAUUAAUUUGCAAAGUUAUAUUUGAUUUUCUAAGGCCUACAAUAUGGAGCAGAAGACUAUAAAGUGUGGUGAUGUUGGUGAGAUCAAUGUUUACGUACAGGGAAAUAGGUCGAGCAAUGAAAAGGUCAUCUUUACCGUGCACGACCUUGGCUGCAAUUAUUUACAAUACGACGAUUUUAUCAAUCAUGAGAGAAUGCAGCCGAUCAGGGACAGAACUGUAUGGGUUCAUGUUGCUGUACCCGGACAGGAAACGGACGCGUCGGAUUUACCAUCGACAUAUUCUUUCCCGACAAUGCAAAAACUCGGAGAAAGUCUGAUUCAUAUUCUUGAUGAGUUAAAAAUUAAAGAAGUACUCUGCUUUGGUGAGGGAGCGGGAGCAAAUAUCCUUGCGAGAUUUGCGUGUAAACAUUCGGAUAGAGUGAUGGGAGUUGUACUGCUUCACUGUACAGGCACUACGGCAGGUUUAAUGGAAUCACUUAAAGAUAAAGUUAUAAAUUGGAAACUGGAACAUAUUGGAAUGAAUCCAACUGCUGAGCAAUAUUUGGUACUUCAUCGUUUCGGUUCGAGCAGUUCAAAGUUUAACACAGCGGAAAAUGCGGAGCAAUUGAAACAAGUUAUUGCUAACUUUCAAGAAGAACUUCGGCAACACGUAAAUCCGAAGAAUUUGAAGAAAUUUGUUGAAGCUUUUCUAAAGAGAACAAGUAUCGCCGACAAAAUCACUCAUUUAAAAUGCCCUAUGCUGUUGGUAACCGGCCAAAAAUCCGUGUUUAGCGGAACGACAAACUCUCUUGCCCAAACCGUUUCUAGACACGCUUCAGUAAAGGACCUGGUGAAUUUUAUCGAGGUUAAGAGGGUUGCCAACGUUUUGGAAGAAGCGCCAGAAAAGAUGGCUGAGAGCUUUCAGUAUUUCAUCCAAGGUUUGGGGUGGGCUUCAGGAAUACCGAUGGUUCAUGUGGAACGACCACCAAAGAGCAGACUACGAUCAAUGUCAAUGGAAGUCUACGAUCAGCCGAAACUGAGAUUGCGCUCGAUGUCAGGAGGGGAGAACGAUAUUAGUCAAAUGUAAAAUUUCAUUACGCCGUCAACAAGCGUUUCUUCUGGCGUUCCAAUGCCGUCAAAUCCACCGAUAACUAGAAAUCGUUCGAUGAGCAUGGAGGAAUAUGAUCUACCGUUGCGCAUGCGUUCUACUUCUGGAGGAGGAUCUUCAUGCGGAUCACCAACUUGCGUUUAAUCUGUCUAUCGAUAUCAGUUUUGUUUGUUUGUUUGUUUUUUUGUAUUUUAGUUAAAUUUUUUUUAUAGAAACUCUGAUGAAUUCUUUAAAAAAGUCUUUUGUUUUUUCUUUCUUUAUUUCUUACUACGUUUGUUUAAAAUUAUUGUUAGAUGUUGUGUUUAUUAAAGUUUAGACACAAAAUAGUUUAUAGUAGUGCAAAAAACAGGUUGUGGUGUGUAAAAAAAAGAAAGAAAAUCUCAAAUAUUUUCUUUUAAAUACA